RNAcentral lists this ribosomal RNA (1137 nucleotides) under Cyloma guttulatus. Its description in RNAcentral is "SSU rRNA". It matches the Rfam family "Eukaryotic small subunit ribosomal RNA", at positions 52 to 1122 of the family's 1831-position model. Lineage: Eukaryota; Metazoa; Arthropoda; Insecta; Coleoptera; Hydrophilidae. The record is from RNAcentral.
UGCAUGUCUCAGUACAAGCCAAAUUAAGGUGAAACCGCGAAAGGCUCAUUAAAUCAGUUAUGGUUCCUUAGAUCGUACCCACAUUUACUUGGAUAACUGUGGUAAUUCUAGAGCUAAUACAUGCAAACAGAGCUCCGACCGGAGACGGAAGGAGCGCUUUUAUUAGAUCAAAACCAAUCGGCGGCGGGUUCGCCCGUCGUCGUACAUCUUGGUGACUCUGAAUAACUUUUUGCUGAUCGCACGGUCCAGCACCGGCGACGCAUCUUUCAAAUGUCUGCCUUAUCAACUGUCGAUGGUAGGUUCUGCGCCUACCAUGGUUGUAACGGGUAACGGGGAAUCAGGGUUCGAUUCCGGAGAGGGAGCCUGAGAAACGGCUACCACAUCCAAGGAAGGCAGCAGGCGCGCAAAUUACCCACUCCCGGCACGGGGAGGUAGUGACGAAAAAUAACGAUACGGGACUCAUCCGAGGCCCCGUAAUCGGAAUGAGUACACUCUAAACCCUUUAACGAGGAUCAAUUGGAGGGCAAGUCUGGUGCCAGCAGCCGCGGUAAUUCCAGCUCCAAUAGCGUAUAUUAAAGUUGUUGCGGUUAAAAAGCUCGUAGUCGAAUCUGUGUCUCGCGCCGCCGGUUCAUCGCUCGCGGUGUUUAACUGGCGUGUCGCGGGACGUCCUGCCGGUGGGCUUAGCCUCCUUCGCGGGGGGCGGCCCAACUACGCAUCCCGCCGCGGUGCUCUUCGCUGAGUGUCGAGGUGGGCCGGCACGUUUACUUUGAACAAAUUAGAGUGCUUAAAGCAGGCUCAAACUUCGCCUGAAUAUUCUGUGCAUGGAAUAAUGGAAUAGGACCUCGGUUCUAUUUUGUUGGUUUUCGGAACCCCGAGGUAAUGAUUAAUAGGAACGGAUGGGGGCAUUCGUAUUGCGACGUUAGAGGUGAAAUUCUUGGAUCGUCGCAAGACGGACGGAAGCGAAAGCAUUUGCCAAAAACGUUUUCAUUGAUCAAGAACGAAAGUUAGAGGUUCGAAGGCGAUCAGAUACCGCCCUAGUUCUAACCAUAAACGAUGCCAGCUAGCGAUCCGCCGACGUUCCUCCGAUGACUCGGCGGGCAGCUUCCGGGAAACCAAAGCUUUUGGGUUCCGGGGGAA